This 399-nucleotide ribosomal RNA is filed under the name uncultured bacterium. Its description in RNAcentral is "bacterial SSU rRNA". It matches the Rfam family "Bacterial small subunit ribosomal RNA", at positions 356 to 773 of the family's 1533-position model. The record is from RNAcentral.
GGGGAAUAUUGCACAAUGGGCGAAAGCCUGAUGCAGCAACGCCGCGUGAGCGAAGAAGGCCUUUGGGUCGUAAAGCUCUGUCGAGAAGGAAGAUAAUGACGGUACUUCUCGAGGAAGCCCCGGCUAACUACGUGCCAGCAGCCGCGGUAAUACGUAGGGGGCGAGCGUUAUCCGGAAUUAUUGGGCGUAAAGAGUGCGUAGGUGGUUGUUUAAGCGUGGGGUGAAAGGCAAUAGCUUAACUAUUGUAAGCCCCGCGAACUGGGCGACUUGAGUGCAGGAGAGGAAAGCGGAAUUCCUAGUGUAGCGGUGAAAUGCGUAGAUAUUAGGAGGAACACCAGUGGCGAAGGCGGCUUUCUGGACUGUAACUGACACUGAGGCACGAAAGCGUGGGGAGCAAAC